This 447-nucleotide ribosomal RNA is filed under the name uncultured bacterium. RNAcentral's name for it is "bacterial SSU rRNA". It matches the Rfam family "Bacterial small subunit ribosomal RNA", at positions 355 to 825 of the family's 1533-position model. The record is from RNAcentral.
UGGGGAAUAUUGGACAAUGGGCGCAAGCCUGAUCCAGCCAUGCCGCGUGAGUGACGAAGGCCUUAGGGUUGUAAAGCUCUUUUGGCGGGGACGAUAAUGACGGUACCCGCAGAAUAAGCCCCGGCUAACUUCGUGCCAGCAGCCGCGGUAAUACGAAGGGGGCUAGCGUUGUUCGGAAUCACUGGGCGUAAAGCGCACGUAGGCGGAUUUGUAAGUCAGGGGUGAAAUCCCGGGGCUCAACCUCGGAACUGCCUUUGAUACUGCAAGUCUCGAGUUCGGGAGAGGUGAGUGGAAUUCCUAGUGUAGAGGUGAAAUUCGUAGAUAUUAGGAAGAACACCAGUGGCGAAGGCGGCUCACUGGUCCGGUACUGACGCUGAGGUGCGAAAGCGUGGGGAGCAAACAGGAUUAGAUACCCCAGUAGUCCCUGAGCGGGCUGGCAAGGCGCAU